RNAcentral lists this ribosomal RNA (949 nucleotides) under uncultured fungus. RNAcentral describes it as "eukaryotic LSU rRNA". The stretch from base 667 to 949 matches the Rfam family "Eukaryotic large subunit ribosomal RNA", at positions 1 to 275 of the family's 3401-position model. The record is from RNAcentral. Lineage: Eukaryota; Fungi.
GGAAGGAUCAUUAUCGAAUAUAAACUUGGAUGGACUGUUGCUGGCUUUUCUUUGAGGGGCAUGUGCACGUUUAUCCUCUUUAUUUUUCCACCUGUGCACCUUUUGUAGGCUUGGAUUAUUAGUGGUUCUAAUGUGUCUUUCAAAGGCAUAAGAAUCGUUUUGGGACUGCUGUGUUUAAACGCAUGUUUAUCGGCUUUCCCUUUUAUUUUCCAAGUCUAUGUUUGCUAUAUACACUCCAGAAAUGUAAUAGAAUGCUGUACUUUAGGUCAUUUGUACCUAUAAUAAAAUCAGUACAACUUUCAGCAACGGAUCUCUUGGCUCUCGCAUCGAUGAAGAACGCAGCGAAAUGCGAUAAGUAAUGUGAAUUGCAGAAUUCAGUGAAUCAUCGAAUCUUUGAACGCAUCUUGCGCUCCCUGGUAUUCCAAGGAGCAUGCCUGUUUGAGUAUCAUUAAAUUAUCAACUGUGCCACUUUGGUUCACAGAUUGGAUGUGGGAGAUUUCUUGCAGGCUUUUGACUAGUCAGCUCUCCUGAAAUGUAUUAGCAGUGCCUUUGUUGGUUCAUUAGGUGUGAUAAUUUAUCUACAUCUUCACAUGGUACCUUCAUUUGUAAAGGUCAUAUUGCUUCUAAUUGUCUUUGGACAAAGAAACAUAUAAUGUGUGACAAACUUGAUCUCAAAUCAGGCAGGACUACCCGCUGAACUUAAGCAUAUCAAUAAGCGGAGGAAAAGAAACUAACAAGGAUUCCCCUAGUAACUGCGAGUGAAGCGGGAAAAGCUCAAAUUUAAAAUCUGACAGUUGUUCUGGCUGUCCGAGUUGUAAUCUAGAGAAGUGUUACCCGCGCUGGACCGUGUACAAGUCUCCUGGAAUGGAGCAUCAUAGAGGGUGAGAAUCCCGUCUUUGACAUGGACUACCAGGGCUUUGUGGUGCGCUCUCAAAGAGUCGAGUUGUUU